This 1186-nucleotide long non-coding RNA is filed under the name Marmota monax (woodchuck). The record is from RNAcentral. Lineage: Eukaryota; Metazoa; Chordata; Mammalia; Rodentia; Sciuridae.
CUCAUACUCAAUAUUCCUAGUACCACUUAUUAAUAGGCCAUUUCCCCACAAGCCUAUAAUCCAGAUUCUGUCAGAACCAAUACUUUAAUUUAUUCAGGAUGGUACCUGGGCUCUCUGUUCUGUCAUACUGCAUUUGUCUAUCUUUGUUCUACUACUUCAGGUCUUAAUACUAUAGCAUUAUAAGUCAUCUGGAAUGGCAAGAAUUCAUAAAAGAUAGAUACAAAUCUUUUCAAGUUUUACAAAAAGCUGUUGUUAGAAUUUUGGUCGGAAUCAUCUGACAUUAUAGACUUUAAUGGGGAAAAUGGCAUCUUUAUAAUAUUGAGUCUUCCCAUCUAUGAACAUAGUAAAAAUUUACAUUUGCACAUAUUUUAUUUGUUUCUUCCUGAGUGGUUUUAGAAUAUCCUCCCUGGAGGUUUUAUGUGUAUGUGAACACACACAUAACACAUGAGUAUAUAUUGUAUGCAUUUUUAAAAUUAGAUAAAUACUGUCUUUUAAAAGGUUAUUGUUAUGGUUUGGAUAUGAGAUAUCUCCUGAAAAGCUCAUGUGAUAAUGCAGGAAUGUUCAGAGGUGAAAUGAUCAGAUUAUAAGACUCAUAACCUAAUCAGUGGAUCAAUCCAUUUGAUAGUUAAUAAUUCAAACUAGAGACAAGUGAGGUGUGACUGGAGGAAGCAGGUCGCUGGAGGCAUGCCAUUGAAAAUUAGAUUUUGUCCCUGGCUCCUCUCUCUCUCUUUCUCUCGCUCUCCUCCAGCAGCCACAAGCUGAACAGCUUUCCUCCACACCUUUCCACCAUGAUGUUGUAGCUUAUCUUUGGUCCAGAGCAAUGGCGUCAACCGAGCAUAGACUGAGACCCCUGUAAGAAGACCCCUGUAAGAAGAAAGUGGUGGGGACAAACAUAUGUCAUUCUGGGUAGAUAAUUUUUAACUGUGAGGCCAAAAUAAACUUUUCUUCCUGUAAGUUGUUCUUGUAAGCUAUUUUGUCCCAGUGACAAGAAUCUGACAAAUAUUAUCUACUGGUUUUUCAAUUUGUAUGAAUUCUUUUGACAAAUAGGGUUUUGAACUCAGGGGCACAGUUACUCACUCAGUCUAUGUAUUUAUUUAAUCCUAAUGAACAGUUGGCUUCUGUGUAUUGAUGUUACUCAAUAUUGAAGUGUAUUCAGUCACCUUAUGAUUUCAUUAAUAAUAACUUG